This is a non-coding RNA of Paramuricea clavata, 175 nucleotides long. Lineage: Eukaryota; Metazoa; Cnidaria; Anthozoa; Malacalcyonacea; Plexauridae. The record is from the annotation of a GenBank genome assembly.
CACGAAACGUUUGUUCGCCACCACAGCAACCGAACUGAAUAUAUUAUAUUUAUUGUAUUUUUAUGAUUUAUGGUAAAAACGAUAAAUUUUUGCGCAUUUUCACCAUAAAUCAUAAAAAUACAAUAAAUAUAAUAUAUUUAGUUGGGUUGCUGUGGUGGCGAGGAAACGUUUCGUG